Molecule: long non-coding RNA, 406 nt
Organism: Helianthus annuus (common sunflower)
Lineage: Eukaryota; Viridiplantae; Streptophyta; Magnoliopsida; Asterales; Asteraceae
Exons: 2
Source: RefSeq, a predicted model, not a curated record
AACCUCAAGAAAAGGGUCUUCCCCAAAUCUCACUCAUUUCAACAACACUUCAUCAUCUUCUUCAUCCCUCUAAUGGCGAAUCCCAAUCAGCAACAAACUUCAAUCCAGCCAUGGAUCCUCGAUGUCCUCCCCUUCAUCGUCGUCGUUCUCAUAGCCGCUCACGUGAUCGCUUUGGUUUACUGGAUAUACAGAUUAGCAACAGAGAAGCUACCCGGAAGAAGAAAGAAGCACUAGAACAAAGGUGUAGUGAUCAAAUUUAGUGUUAUAAGUUGUUAUAGUUGUAAUGUGUGUAUGAAAUUGAACUCUUGUUGGAUGCACGGAAGGUGCUCGACGAAAUGUUAUUGCUUGAAAUUGGAUCAGUGAUUUGAAGUUGAGUUAAAGGAAUUGUUUAUAUUUGUUGAUUUAA